This 253-nucleotide ribosomal RNA is filed under the name uncultured bacterium. RNAcentral describes it as "partial 16S ribosomal RNA". It matches the Rfam family "Bacterial small subunit ribosomal RNA", at positions 524 to 776 of the family's 1533-position model. The record is from RNAcentral.
UACAGAGGGGGCAAGCGUUAUUCGGAAUUAUUGGGCGUAAAGGGCGCGUAGGCGGCCUGACAAGUGGAAGGUGAAAUCCCUCGGCUUAACCGAGGAACUGCCCUCCAAACUGUUUGGCUUGAGACCGGGAGAGGUGAGUGGAAUUCCCAGUGUAGCGGUGAAAUGCGUAGAUAUUGGGAGGAACACCAGUGGCGAAGGCGGCUCACUGGACCGGUACUGACGCUGAGGCGCGAAAGCGUGGGGAGCGAACGGG